Long non-coding RNA from Panicum hallii, 587 nucleotides. RefSeq lists it as uncharacterized. The transcript is spliced from 2 exons. The record is from RefSeq and is a predicted model, not a curated record. NCBI's taxonomy places the organism in Eukaryota, Viridiplantae, Streptophyta, Magnoliopsida, Poales, Poaceae.
UGACACUGAACCGUGUUGGACAGUUUGGGCAGCAAUGGGAACCUCAUCGGCAUCGUGCAGGGCAUACAUAUGCUGGAUUCCAUGACCGAAGGCAGGUGGUGCAUCUAUUUCGACCUCGUCUUCAGGAACGGGAGUUCAAGGGAUCUACAGUCAAGCUAUUGGGAAAUAUUGGUCCAGCUGAUGAUGGCGAGUGGGCCAUUGUUGGUGGAACUGGAGAGCUUACUCUUGCCCAGGGGGUGGUCUCCUUCAAGAAGGUGCAAGGUGGUAGCGGCAUGAUCAUCAGGGAGCUUAAGUUCCGUGUAUUCUAUACACCCAUAAAAGCCUAGAUGCAGACCAGGGAGCUCAUUCUUUAUGCCCAAAUCAGCCGAUGCAUGGAUCGGAUGGACGAUGUUUCCCUUCUUUCACCUUACUUCUCCAGUUGCAGAAAUAAUAGGGCGGACAGAUCGAUGCCCUGAUCUGUUGCAGUCUUGCACUGACAUCCUUUAAGAGCGAGUGGUUUCCCCUUCUCGUGUUAUGUUUCCUGAAUUCAAGCUAUGUAUGCUGCCUUUGAAAUUAAAUCAAUGGAUCUUUUAUUACUUGAUUUCGAA